Molecule: ribosomal RNA, 780 nt
Filed under: uncultured archaeon
Lineage: Archaea
Description: bacterial SSU rRNA
Rfam family: Archaeal small subunit ribosomal RNA
Source: RNAcentral
CGAGUAGAAAGGAUCAGAUUCUUUGCAAACUGCUCAGUAACACGUGGACAAUCUGCCCUAUGCUCUGGAAUAACCUCGGGAAACUGAGAAUAAUACCGGAUAGAUCACAACGCCUGGAACGGUGUGUGGUUGAAAGAUUACGGCAUAGGAUGGGUCUGCGGCGUAUCAGGUUGUAGGGGGUGUAACGGAUCUCCUAGCCAUCGACGCGUACGGGUGUUGGGAGACAUAGCCCGGAGAUGGAUUCUGAGACACGAAUCCAGACCCUACGGGGUGCAGCAGGCGCGAAAACUUCACACUGCAGGAAACUGUGAUGAGGGAACUCCAAGUGCGUGCACUUAGUGUGCGCUUUUCUUGACUACUAAUCGGUCAUGGAAUAAGGGCUGGGAAAGACCGGUGCCAGCCGCCGCGGUAAUACCGGCAGCUCAAGUGGUCGUCGCUUUUAUUGGGCCUAAAACGUCCGUAGCCUGUUUGGUAAAUCUGUGGGUAAAUCAACCAGCUUAACUGGUUGAAUUCUGCAGAGACUGCCAGACUAGGGACCGGGAGAGGUGUGGGGUACUCUAGGGGUAGGGGUAAAAUCCUGUCAUCCUUAGAGGACCACCAGUUGCGAAGGCGCCACACUGGAACGGAUUCGACGGUCAGGGACGAAGCCUAGGGGCACGAACCGGAUUAGAUACCCGGGUAGUCCUAGGUGUAAACGCUGUGAACUUGGUGUCGGGGAUCUGUCAUGGGUCCCCGGUGCCGGAGUGAAGAUGUUAAGUUCACUGCCUGGGGAGUACGGUC